GUGGGGAAUAUUGCACAAUGGGCGCAAGCCUGAUGCAGCGACGCCGCGUGAGGGAUGACGGCCUUCGGGUUGUAAACCUCUGUUAGCAUCGAAGAAGCGAAAGUGACGGUAGGUGCAGAGAAAGCGCCGGCUAACUACGUGCCAGCAGCCGCGGUAAUACGUAGGGCGCGAGCGUUGUCCGGAAUUAUUGGGCGUAAAGAGCUUGUAGGCGGUUGGUCGCGUCUGCUGUGAAAGGCCGGGGCUUAACUCCGGUUUUGCAGUGGGUACGGGCUAACUAGAGUGCAGUAGGGGAGACUGGAAUUCCUGGUGUAGCGGUGGAAUGCACAGAUAUCAGGAGGAACACCGAUGGCGAAGGCAGGUCUCUGGGCUGUAACUGACGCUGAGAAGCGAAAGCAUGGGGAGCGAACAGGAUUAGAAACCCUAGUAGUCC
RNAcentral lists this ribosomal RNA (430 nucleotides) under uncultured bacterium. RNAcentral's name for it is "bacterial SSU rRNA". It matches the Rfam family "Bacterial small subunit ribosomal RNA", at positions 354 to 796 of the family's 1533-position model. The record is from RNAcentral.